GAUGAAGAACGCAGCGAAAUGCGAUACUUGGUGUGAAUUGCAGAAUCCCGUGAACCAUCGAGUCUUUGAACGCAAGUUGCGCCCGAAGCCAUUAGGCCGAGGGCACGCCUGCCUGGGCAUCACACGUCGUUGCCCCCCCAUCUACUCCUUCGGGAUUGCGGGGGGCGGAUGAUGGCCUCCCGUGCGCCUCGUCGCGCGGUUGGCAUAAAUGCCAAGUCCUCGGCGACGCACGCCACGACAAUCGGUGGUUGCGAAACCUCGGUUGCCCGUCGUGUGCGGUCGUCGCGCAUCGAGGGCUCGAAAAAAUUGCCGGGCUCCGGCUCGGCUUUCAACGCGACCCCAGGUCAGGCGGGGUUACCCGCUGAAUUUAAGCAUAUCAAUAAGCGGAGGA
This 391-nucleotide unclassified non-coding RNA is filed under the name soil metagenome. RNAcentral's name for it is "partial contains 5.8S ribosomal RNA, internal transcribed spacer 2, and large subunit ribosomal RNA". The stretch from base 1 to 122 matches the Rfam family "5.8S ribosomal RNA", at positions 35 to 154 of the family's 154-position model. The record is from RNAcentral.